Molecule: ribosomal RNA, 593 nt
Filed under: uncultured bacterium
Lineage: Bacteria
Description: bacterial SSU rRNA
Rfam family: Bacterial small subunit ribosomal RNA
Source: RNAcentral
GAUUGAACGCUGGCGGCAUGCCUUACACAUGCAAGUCGAACGGCAGCACGGAGCUUGCUCUGGUGGCGAGUGGCGAACGGGUGAGUAAUAUAUCGGAACGUACCCUACAGUGGGGGAUAACGUAGCGAAAGUUACGCUAAUACCGCAUACGAUCUAAGGAUGAAAGUGGGGGAUCGCAAGACCUCAUGCUCGUGGAGCGGCCGAUAUCUGAUUAGCUAGUUGGUAGGGUAAAAGCCUACCAAGGCAUCGAUCAGUAGCUGGUCUGAGAGGACGACCAGCCACACUGGAACUGAGACACGGUCCAGACUCCUACGGGAGGCAGCAGUGGGGAAUUUUGGACAAUGGGCGAAAGCCUGAUCCAGCAAUGCCGCGUGAGUGAAGAAGGCCUUCGGGUUGUAAAGCUCUUUUGUCAGGGAAGAAACGGUGAGAGCUAAUAUCUCUUGCUAAUGACGGUACCUGAAGAAUAAGCACCGGCUAACUACGUGCCAGCAGCCGCGGUAAUACGUACGGUGCAAGCGUUAAUCGGAAUUACUGGGCGUAAAGCGCGCGCAGGCGGUUUUGUAAGUCUGAUGUGAAAUCCCCGGGCUCAACCU